GUGCUGGCUUUGACAGCACAUAUUCUAAAACUGGGGUGAUAAAAGAUUAACAUGGCCCUUAUGCAAGGAUGACACACAAAUUUGUAAAGUGUUCAUACCUCAA
This 103-nucleotide small nuclear RNA is filed under the name Castor canadensis (American beaver). Lineage: Eukaryota; Metazoa; Chordata; Mammalia; Rodentia; Castoridae. The record is from RNAcentral.